RNAcentral lists this ribosomal RNA (221 nucleotides) under uncultured bacterium. RNAcentral describes it as "partial 16S ribosomal RNA". It matches the Rfam family "Bacterial small subunit ribosomal RNA", at positions 524 to 742 of the family's 1533-position model. The record is from RNAcentral.
UACGAAGGGGGCUAGCGUUGUUCGGAAUACUGGGCGUAAAGCGCGCGCAGGCGGUCCUUUAAGUCAAGGGGUGAAAGCCCAGAGCUCGAACUCUGAACUGCCUUUGAAACUAGAGGAGCUUGGGUACGGGAGAGGUGAGUGGAAUUCCGAGUGUAGAGGUGAAAUUCGUAGAUAUUACGGAAGAACACCAGUGGCGAAGGCGGCUCACUGGCCCGUUACCG